ACGAAGGGGGCUAGCGUUGCUCGGAAUUACUGGGCGUAAAGGGCGCGUAGGCGGCACUGUUAGUCAGGCGUGAAAUUCCUGGGCUCAACCUGGGGACUGCGCUUGAUACGGCAGAGCUAGAGGAUGGAAGAGGCUCGCGGAAUUCCCAGUGUAGAGGUGAAAUUCGUAGAUAUUGGGAAGAACACCGGUGGCGAAGGCGGCGAGCUGGUCCAUUACUGACGCUGAGGCGCGACAGCGUGGGGAGCAAACAGG
This 252-nucleotide ribosomal RNA is filed under the name uncultured bacterium. Its description in RNAcentral is "partial 16S ribosomal RNA". It matches the Rfam family "Bacterial small subunit ribosomal RNA", at positions 525 to 776 of the family's 1533-position model. The record is from RNAcentral.